AGGAAGCUUUUCUCCUGCGUGGCACAGUACCCCAGCGGGUGUUUGCACUGAGACCAAAGUGUGGAUCUGGACUUCUUGGAAACUGAAAUGAGGGAAUUUAUCAGCAGAUAGCAGGCAACUUUUCCAACAAGUUGAUUUAUGGAGUUGGCUGGCAAAGCCUUGAAUGCAUCGAGAAAUACGACUCCUGCAGUGGACCAGAGCAUCGUUAAUGAAUGGUUCCUCUUUAAACUGGGAGCUGUGCUGGUAAAAUCCAUGGAAUCCAGUCAUGCAUCCCCAGGUGCACAGUGCCGCUGGAACGUUCUGUGGAGAGCUUCUGGUUGUUAAAAACUGGGUUUAUAACUGAGGAGUCCUCUGGAUCCCCUGGGCCGUGGCUUUGUGCUGUACCUCUCCGUCUGCAGUCCCCCUCUGACUUCAGCGAGCUUGUUGUCUGUUCUGAGAGCGUUUUCCAUCACUUGAGCCUGGAAGGGAAGAGGAUUUAUGGAACGGGGAGCGUGAGGCACCAGCUCAGCACAUACCAGAAUGUGCAGGAGCUCUGGGACCAUAACUGGGAUGGGGAUGAGUGUUAUGAGUGAUGCUGGUGCUCAGCUCUGGUUCUGCCAGAAAGGGAAAGGGGACGAGGCUUUGAUGUGGCACAGAGGACCCUCACGUUCCAUCCAGGC
This is a long non-coding RNA of Hirundo rustica (Barn swallow), 659 nucleotides long. RefSeq lists it as uncharacterized. The record is from RefSeq and is a predicted model, not a curated record. NCBI's taxonomy places the organism in Eukaryota, Metazoa, Chordata, Aves, Passeriformes, Hirundinidae. The transcript is spliced from 3 exons.